Pseudopipra pipra is the source of this 2532-nucleotide long non-coding RNA. RefSeq lists it as uncharacterized. The record is from RefSeq and is a predicted model, not a curated record. Lineage: Eukaryota; Metazoa; Chordata; Aves; Passeriformes; Pipridae. The transcript has 2 exons.
CCUCAGGAACGGGCGAGGGGGGCCGGGGUGUCCCAUCACGUGACCGCCCGGGACCGGGACCCCCUCAGCCCUCACCGGGACCGGCCCGAGGGACCCCCGGGCACGAGGGACCCCCGGCCUGGGGCAUCAGGGACCUCCGGGACUCGAGCCCCUCACGGCAGCGCCGCCUCCGGCUCCUGCGGGAUGGAAACAGGGCUGCUGGGCCCGUGUGUGCAUCACAGAGUCACAGGAGGGAUGUGGUUGGAAGAGACCUCUGGAGAUCACUCAGUUCAACCCUGCUGCCAAGGCAGGGUCACCUGGAGCAGGUGACACAGGAAGGUUUGGAAUGUCUCCAGAGGAGACUCCACGCCCUCCCUGGACAGCUGUUCCAGGAUGAGGUGCUGCUGCCCCUGUGGCCCCUGGAGGGGAUGAGCCAAGCCCAGCCCCAGACAGGUCUGGAGGGUUUGGGGGGUGUGCACGAGGGGAUGUUGGUCCUUGGCACAGGACAACCAUCCCUGCCUGGCACUGGGGCUGCCAGCUGUGAGUGCAGCUGCCCCAUGCCUGGCUCUGAGAGGGCUGGGAGCUUCCUCCCUUCCCAGCGGCUGCUGGGUCCAUGCAAAUGCAUUCCCUGGUGCAAUUUUUCUGGGCUGGCAAAAGGGGGAGGUGGGUGGUGGCAGGGGAAACCUCUGGGCUGGAAAAUGAAGGAGGGAGCAGCACCCUGGGUUGGCAAUGGGGCAGGGGGAGCACCCAGAGGAGGUGAUGGGGAAGGGGAGCAUCCAGGGGAGGUGAUGGGGAAGGGGAGCAGGUAGAGGGGUGAUGAGGAAGAGGAAGCACCUGGAGGGGGUGGUGGGGCAACUGGAGCUGUGACAUGGGGCUGAUGGUGCCACCCUGCAGAUAAGCUGCUCCAGAACAUGGGGAAAGUCUGUGGAGCAUGUGAACAACCCACUGACCUCUGGGCUGCUGGGCCACCUGCUGUCCCAAGGGGUUCUGAGCCUCAGUGGGGUGGAAGAGGUGCAGGAUCAAUGCAGGAUGUGCGUGGAUAGGCUCAGCUCCUCAUUGACACCGUGCUCCAAGGGCCCAGCCACAUCUCCACUGACAGCCUCAGGAUGGCACCUUGGCUGAGCAGCUGGGCCUGGCUGCUGACUUGGGUGAGUGAUGAGGGGCCAUCAUCUGCUCCCAGACAUGCUGGGGCUCCCAGAACCUCCAGUGGGAUGCUGGAAUGGGUCCCAGCCCUGGGGAGUGUCCAACGCUGGAAAGCAAGGGGCAGUUGGGUGUCUCUGGUGUCACUGCUCUGAGCCCCCCUAUGCUGUGACAACAGGGCUUUUGGGGGUGGCUGUCCCUUGCAGGGCUGAACAGGGACCCCCCAGGGUCAUCAACAGGCUCCAUUUUCAUCUAGUGCCUGCCAGAGCAGUUUCAAACCAUGCCUGUAACAGCCACUUAGAGGAGCUCUUCCUGAAGGUGAGCUCUGUGGUUAACCAGCUGUGCCAAGGGUCAGAAAUCCUGCUGGGAGCAGAGCUCAGGCCAGGCCAGGCCAUUUCUCAGCAGGCCCCUUGGGAGCAGGCUGAGUCAAAACCAGGUCUGGGUUGGCCUGGGAAGUCAGCUGGGUCUCUGGAGACAUCAGCACCCUGACAUGUUAUGAGCAUACACGAGCCUGGCAUGUUGGUGCAGCCCAUGGCACCAGACACAUGGCCCUGGACAUGCCCCUGGGAUGCCUCCUGACUCCCUGCACCCUUCUCAUGCAGGGAACAAAGUUCUCUCAUUUCUCCCUGCUGUCUCCCUCACCCCAGGUCCAACAAUGCUUUGCUAAAUUCCCUCAGCAGAUGCCACCAGAUGGACGUUCCAUCUCUUCCCAGGCCACUGACCUCCUGUCUCUUCACCUCACAACUCUGUGGCAGCCUUUUGUCCGUGCCCCAAACCUGGGACCUGGCCAGCAGGAAGGAGUGGGGAGAAAUUCCCCAUUGACCCUGGGCUCCAGAGCUCAUGGCUUGGUCCAAAGGUCUUGUGUGCUGAUAGCUGGGGCCAGGCCUCACCCCCCAGCUGGCUGGUGGCACCCAAGGGACUCGUUUCAGUAGCCAGUGGCUCAGGAACUUCUUGGUCUGAUGUUCUUCACUGGUGAAAAAAUAAUACACAGAGAGCAAAAGUGUUUGAAUUUGAGGUAACAUAGCAGAAAGCUCAAGGCCAACACAGCCCUGCUCCUGAAAAAUGCACUUUGUCAGAAAAGGACAAGGGGAAGAGACAAGAACAGCUCUGCAGGAACACAGCGAAUCGCCCAACCAGCCCCUGGUGCCCCCUCUGCCAGCCAACUACAGCCAGGCCUGGAAUAAAACAUCCUUGGCCUGCCAUCCUCCCUGCCCUUUGGGGCCUCCCAACAACCUCAGAUUGAGCAAACUCAUCCUGGGGAGCACCAAGUGCAAAGCUGGUUAGUGUCUCUCUUCACUGUCCCUACACAGAGCCUACCCCAAGCUGUGACAGAGAUGAUGUGUCACCCCCACAGCCACUUCCACCCCAUCCCUGGCUUUACCCAUUGUCCAAUAAAGGGAUUUUUGCAGCAGA